This 212-nucleotide long non-coding RNA is filed under the name Diabrotica virgifera virgifera (western corn rootworm). RNAcentral describes it as "uncharacterized LOC126882435". Lineage: Eukaryota; Metazoa; Arthropoda; Insecta; Coleoptera; Chrysomelidae. The record is from RNAcentral.
UUAACGCGAAGUAGCGAGUGAGAAACAACAAAAUAUCAAAACUUAAUCCGAUUUUGGUGAUCCUCUUUCUUUUUUUUUAACAAGUUGGAGAUUUUCAGCAAGAAACAGUCAAAACACAUUGAAAUUUAGAUAUAUUAUGUACCGAUCUACAUACAAGAAAAAUAUUAAAUGUUACUUAGUUUUUUUAGAUAUUAAAUUUUUAAUUUUGUGGA